GAAAUGCGAUAAGUAAUGUGAAUUGCAGAAUUCAGUGAAUCAUCGAAUCUUUGAACGCACAUUGCGCCCUCCAGUAUUCUGGCGGGCAUGCCUGUUCGAGCGUCAUUUCAACCAUCAAGCCCCCGGCUUGUGUUGGGGACCUGCGGCUGCCCGCAGGCCCUGAAAAACAGUGGCGGGCUCGCUGUCACACCGAGCGUAGUAGCAUACAUUCUCGCUCAGGGCGUGCUGCGGGUUCCGGCCGUUAAACGACCUUCAUAACCCAAGGUUGACCUCGGAUCAGGUAGGAAGACCCGCUGAACUUAAGC
This 305-nucleotide unclassified non-coding RNA is filed under the name plant metagenome. Its description in RNAcentral is "partial contains 5.8S ribosomal RNA, internal transcribed spacer 2, and large subunit ribosomal RNA". The stretch from base 1 to 105 matches the Rfam family "5.8S ribosomal RNA", at positions 50 to 154 of the family's 154-position model. The record is from RNAcentral.